GAAUCCGCUAAGGAGUGUGUAACAACUCACCUGCCGAAUGAAUUAGCCCUGAAAAUGGAUGGCGCUGAAGCGGGUACCCGACACUAUGCCGUCUAAUCUAGACCGUAUUAGAUGAGUAGGAGGACGUGGCGGUUGUAUAGAAGCGUGUGCGCGAGCAUGCGUGGAACGGCCGCUAGUGCAGAUCUUGGUGGUAGUAGCAAAUAUUCAAAUGAGAUCCUUGAAGGGCGACGUGGGGAAGGGUUCCACGCGAACAUUGAUUGAGCGUGGGUGAGUCGUUCCUGAGCCGUCUGGCAAUAGCUAGCUACCGGCGAAAGGGAAGCAGGUUGAUAUUCCUGCACAUAGAUAUAGAUGCGGUGACGCGCGCUGUGGCGGUGACGUUGUCGGUUCGCACUGGGCAGAGAUUUCUUUUCUGUUUGACAGUUCCAGACGUACGCUGUGGAAUCCGCUUGUCGGGAGAAACAGGUGCAGUUUUGGCAGAGCGUCGGGUAUUUUCUGACGUCCAGUUCGCGACCGGCGGCCCUUGAAAAACCGUCCGCGGAAAACUUCUAUACUAUAACGUACCCAUAACCGCAUCAGGUCCCCAAGGUGAACAGCCUCUGUCCAGUAUGAAAAAUGCAGGUAAGGGAAGUCGGCA
RNAcentral lists this ribosomal RNA (634 nucleotides) under Ceramiales sp. ARS-2011. Its description in RNAcentral is "eukaryotic LSU rRNA". It matches the Rfam family "Eukaryotic large subunit ribosomal RNA", at positions 1264 to 1919 of the family's 3401-position model. The record is from RNAcentral. Lineage: Eukaryota; Rhodophyta; Florideophyceae; Ceramiales.